RNAcentral lists this ribosomal RNA (253 nucleotides) under uncultured bacterium. Its description in RNAcentral is "partial 16S ribosomal RNA". It matches the Rfam family "Bacterial small subunit ribosomal RNA", at positions 524 to 776 of the family's 1533-position model. The record is from RNAcentral.
GACGAACCGUGCGAACGUUAUUCGGAAUCAUUGGGCUUAAAGGGCGCGUAGGCGGCGGCGUAAGUUGGGGGCGAAAGCCUGUGGCUCAACCACAGAAUUGCCUUCGAUACUGCAUGGCUUGAGACCGGAAGAGGUUAGUGGAACUGCGAGUGUAGAGGUGAAAUUCGUAGAUAUUCGCAAGAACACCAGUGGCGAAGGCGGCUGACUGGUCCGGUUCUGACGCUGAGGCGCGAAAGCGUGGGUAGCAAACAGG